Neopelma chrysocephalum (saffron-crested tyrant-manakin) is the source of this 4240-nucleotide long non-coding RNA. RefSeq lists it as uncharacterized. The record is from RefSeq and is a predicted model, not a curated record. NCBI's taxonomy places the organism in Eukaryota, Metazoa, Chordata, Aves, Passeriformes, Pipridae. The transcript has 3 exons.
AGGACUCCAGCGUGCACCAAAAGGAUUAUUCGGGGAGAUCCUCUGGGUGCCCGGCCCUGGGGAGUUCAAAGCAAUGUCCCUGGAAUGGAUUCAGGCAUUCCUGAGAGUAUCCCAGGUGUACCUGUCCAUGCUAGACGUGGAGCUCUCUAAUGGACUGUAACUGGGUUAUAGAAGUGGUGCUCCAACUGCAAAAGCAGUGUGGGAUUGGGACUAACAACUGAGCAGUGAUGGUACAAUUGGCUGUUUUCUCUUGAAUGUAACUGUAAGAGCUCCAGGAGUGCCAGGUGUGUGUUCCAGUCCCCACCAUUUGGUUUGCACAUGUCCUGCUCAGACACAGGUCCAACUUCCUCAGAGGGAGAAUUAAGGACUGGCGCUAUUAAGGUGAUUGGUGUGACAGGGGUUAAACUGGGAAAACAUUGGGUAAUUCCUCAGUUUCUAUAUUGACCAAACUCACCCAAACCUGUGCUAGGAAGAGAUGGACUGGAGUCUCUGAUCUCCUGGGCAGUUGUUCUGCAUGACCUGGGAGCCUGUGGGAUUAGACUGGACUGGGCAGACAGGGAGCAGUUUGUCCUGUGGAGUUGGGAUGGGUUUGUUCAGAAUGCCUUGGGAGGCAGGGCUGGAGAGGCUGCUCUGUUGGCUGUAGUGGUGGAAGGUUGUAGCAGGAGGGAUGGAGCCUUUGACCUCCUGCUCCCCCCGUGAGCCCCGACGGGACCGUGCACUUGGCAAUGGAGGGCCCCCCAUUGCUGAGUCAGCGGUUCCGGGGGCCAGCAGGGAUGGGAUCAGGAUGCCGAGCUCCGCCCAGGGCCAGGGCUUCAGAUGUUGCACCCAUGGAAAGAACUGAAAGCAGAGUGAGAUGGAGGCCGAGCUCCAGCACAAGGAUGGGUGAGAAAAGACCGUGGUCCUCAGGUGGAGCUUUGAAUUCCCUGGAAAAAUGGAUCCUGUCAAAUGGUUCAGGCCCUUGUGGGUGCUGGAGCAGAGGCCUCUUUAAUUUAUGGUCACCCUAAACAGUUGCAAGGACAGCAAGUUUUGACUGCAGGAUGAGGUGGGAAACCAAGUGAAGUGGUACAGAGAAAAGCUGAGCUUAAAAUUGGUCCUGUGGCAGAGCAGCCCUGUGCAGUGCUUGUUGCUGUCCCUGAGUGUCCCAUUGCAGUGGAUAUUUCCAAGGGCUGCCUUGUGCUGGGGAACACUGGGGGCAGUUCCCUUUCCCUGGGCAGGGCAGGCAGGGCAUGUUUCCCCCCACUCGAGGGUGGCUCCACAGUCCCACCCUCUGCCCUGGGAGCCUGGCAGAACACCUGGAGCCACUGUCCUUGCCAGAGAGGGGACAAGGGAUGGUUGGAUCGAUGAGGGAAUGGUUCAGGGAGUAUAAGCACCAUUAGAACGAGUAGUGCAGGACAUGGAAAGGAAGGGGUGGAGUUAAUCCAGACAAAAUUCAAGCACCUGCCCAACCUGUGAUAUUUUAGGAACUCAGUGGCGUUGUGGUCACCAGGAAGUAUUGCCCAGGACUAGGCAGGAGACUUCAGACUUGGUCACCCCCAGAGCAAGGUGGAGGCCCAGCAGUUUAUUGGUUUGUUUGGGUUCUGGUGACAACAAGGUCCUCCUUUGGGACCAAUCCUUGGCCCAGGCCAUGAAGUCCCAGGACAGAAGUGUGAGUUUGAGUGGGAAAUGAGCAGCAGGGAGGGUUGGAAACAGCUCAGGGAGCAAUUCAACAGGCUCUGGAUCUGUGGCCAAUCUGAGGGGGAACUAAAGGUUCCUGCCAGUGAUAACGAUGCCAAUUAGAGCCUCUGGCAGAAGUAGGGUGGGAAGGAAGCGCCCUUGAGGUUUGGGAAUAGGAAGUUGCUGGAAGCCAGCCCAAGAGAGACCCUGUUGGAGAAGUGGCUCUGAGUAUGUUCUUGGGCUUUAGUGGAAACUUAACAAAUGGUAAGAGGGCCUGAAAUCCCCAUAAGGCCUUGGGUAAAAAGCUCCUCCCAGGACACACAGGCCAGGCCAUGCUCAGGAAGGCAGCAUCAUGAAAUGGAAAUGGUGUAUCCAAGCCAGAGCCAGAGCAGGGGUCGGGGCAGGAGCGAGGCCUCGUGAGGGAGUUGCCAACGGCCCUGUGGUUGAAGCAACAAGUGCAGAUCCCCUGGGCAGUGAGCACGAAUCACUGGGGAAAUGGGGAAAAACCCCAGAGCAAGUGCUGGGAGAAGAGGAGCAUGCAUGGCUCACUGCUGAGUCAACCAAAUCUGUCAGUGGGAAGCACUUUUGGAAAGCAGGAGCUUAUAACCCAUGCCAGAGUGGGUUCAAAAUCACGAUGGGGGGAGGCAAAAGUAGCUCGUGUGCUGAAUGAGACACUGUACCUGUGGGAAUUAAACAGGAAGAACUAGGGCAGUGUCAGAUUUGUAGGGAUUUGGGGUCAGUUGGCAGUGGUUUGGCUACUUGGCUCCCAGCUGUCACCAUCACGGAAUUAGGGAUUAAAUGCAGACAAGGAAAAUGGGAAUAAGUUCCUGUGAAUAAAUAUUAGUGGAGGGAAUGAUAUUGCCAUGUUUUAGCUUGAUAUUUUACAGAAACUGUGGAUCCUGGCCAUCCUCAUAGCCCUUGUGGUCCCUCUGGGCGAUGCUGUUGGCCCCGGGCAGUUCCCUGGAAAAGGUGCCUGGGUGGGGUGACUUGGUUGGAUUUGGAUGGAGAUGGAAAAGCAGCUCCGAAACAGGACACCGGGACAACGUGACCUGGGAAGCAAAUGGACCUUGCCCAGGGGUCAGUGUCACUUUAUGCCUGGGGGGACUCUAUGGAAGGGCCGGGGUCUGUCGGGCUCAUUGUGCAGGCAGCUGUUGGUGCCCCUCAGUGGGAUUGUAUGGAUGUGAUUCCAUGGGCUGGGAGCACUGUUGCCAUACAAUGCUCUAGUUUCCCUUCCGGGGUCCGGGGGGUCUCCCUGGCAUCGUUGUCCCCCUUGUGUGAGUGGUGCCAGUCACAGCCACAAUGUCACAGCAGCGGUGCCUCCCCUGGGCUCUGCCUGCUGGGCUGUUCUGGGGAAGUGCUGCCAAAAGAGCAAAGGGAUCAGCUUGGGCAGGGCAUGGGACAGUUUGGCAUCAUCCUCCCGAGGAGAAUAUUGAUCAGACUGUUGGGUACCUGCUGCCUGUGUCCUGCAGCCCAACAUCAUCAGGAUAAUAGAAUUCCUUUCCCCAUUCUUCUUCCAGUGCUCCCAUCUUGCCCUAGACAGCGAGGCUGGGGGGACACAGGACUGGGAGGAACGGGAGCUGGUAUUGGAUUUGUAGACAGUGGAGACAUGGAAUCGCUUGGUAACCAAUGGCAAAGAGCUGGGCCAGGUGUAUCCCAAGAGCUGAAUUUAGGAGCACAAGGGAUGCCCACUGUAUUUACCCCCCACCCUUCACUCCAGAAUGUGAUGGUGAGUUUGGGCAGCUCUGUAAUGGUUCCCCAAGCUGUAAUUGUUGUGCACAGGGGAACACCACUAACUUAUGAACUGGGCUGAGUACACAUGCCAUAGUGUGUAUAUUGUAAUGCAGAGAAAUGAGGCAAGAACGACUUAAUGAGAACCAGUGAACUGAGCUGGAGGACUGCAUUCACAUCCUGGAUUGCAAAAAUUAACUGGAUUUUGUCUUCUGAAUCGCUGCAGUGCACCAACUGAUAUCAUGCUGGAAAAAUAACACACUUCAAUGUAAGUAAACCAGGGAUUUUUGUAUGUAAAUACAAAAUUAUUGCCCUGCAAAUUUAAAAUAAAACUUGACUUGAUCACCAAAUGCAAACAGUAAAUAUAGGGGUCAAUUAGUGACCUUUGGGCAUCAGGUGGAACAACUCACUGCUCACCACUGGUGGGACAUAUUUACAGGAUUCUCACCACCUGCUACAAAGUUUUAGAACACUUUAAUCCAUCCACUAAUCACAGUCAUUAUACUGAUUUUAUGAACAAUAUGGAGUUGUUGUCUAUGGUAUCAAUUACAAGAAGUUGUUUCUCGUGUGUCUCUGCCCUGCCCAGGGAUCAAAGGACCAAAGGGAAAGGAUGAGAAAUUCCCUGAGAAUUGAGCCCCGGGGCUGCUGCCCCUGAGGAGCAGGGCAGGACCAUUUUCCUUUUGCCUUUCCCAAGUGCUGCCCAACACGGGGAUCCGUGUGCUGGGACAGUGAUUGGCAGGAGGAAGGGGAGCCUUGGCCUCACCUGCCCAGCUCAGGCCAGGACAAAGCCCUGAAUGCAGCCCAGCUCUGCCAAGUGCCUUGGGGUGUGAGCAGCCAAAGGCAAGAGGCUGCAGCCCCG